UUCAGAUGAGUUAAAACAAAACACUUGUGCCAUUGUUACCACUCCUAUAUCUAACCAUAAUGCUAAUAAAUAAAUAAAUAAAUAAAUUGCCCCUGUAGGUUAUUUCAGAUGAGUUAAAACAAAACACUUGUGCCAUUGUUACCACUGCUAUAUCUAACCAUAAUGAUAAUAAAUAAAUAAAUAAAUAAAUUGCCCCUGUAGGUUAUCUCAGAUGAGUUAAAACAAAACACUUGUGCCAUUGUUACCACUCCUAUAUCUAACCAUAAUGCUAAUAAAUAAAUAAAUAAAUAAAUUGCCCCUGUAGGUUAUUUCAGAUGAGUUAAAACAAAACACUUGUGCCAUUGUUACCACUCCUAUAUCUAAACAUUAUGCUAAUAAAUAAAUAAAUACAUAAAUAAAUUGCCCCUGUAGGUUAUUUCAGAUGAGUUAAAACAAAACACUUGUGCCAUUGUUACCACUCCUAUAUCUAACCAUAAUGCUAAUAAAUAAAUAAAUAAAUAAAUUGCCCCUGUAGGUUAUUUCAGAUGAGUUAAAACAAAACACUUGUGCCAUUGUUACCACUCCUAUAUCUAACCAUAAUGCUAAUAAAUAAAUAAAUAAAUAAAUAAAUUGCCCCUGUAGGUUAUUUCAGAUGAGUUAAAACAAAACACUUGUGCCAUUGUUACCACUCCUAUAUCUAACCAUAAUGUUAACAAAUAAAUAAAUAAAUUGCCCCUGUAGGUUAUUUCAGAUGAGUUAAAACAAAACACUUGUGCCAUUGUUACCACUCCUAUAUCUAACCAUAAUGCUAAUAAAUAAAUUAAUUAAUUAAUUGCCACUCUAGGUUAUUUCAGAUGAGUUAAAAAAAAACACUUGUGCCAUUGUUACCACUCCUAUAUCUAACCAUAAUGCUAAUAAAUAAAUAAAAUAAUUAAUUAAUUGCCCCUGUAGGUUAUUUCAGAUGAGUUAAAACAAAACACUUGUGCCAUUGUUACCACUCCUAUAUCUAACCAUAAUGCUAAUAAAUAAAUAAAUAAAUUGCCCCUGUAGGUUAUUUCAGAUGAGUUAAAACAAAACACUUGUGCCAUUGUUACCACUCCUAUAUCUAACCAUAAUGCUAAUAAAUAAAUAAAUAAAUAAAUAAAUGAAUAAAUUGCCCCUGUAGGUUAUUUCAGAUGAGUUAAAACAAAACACUUGUGCCAUUGUUACCACUCCUAUAUCUAACCAUAAUGCUAAUAAAUAAAUAAAUAAAUAAAUUGCCCCUGUAGGUUAUUUCAGAUGAGUUAAAACAAAACACUUGUGCCAUUGUUACCACUCCUAUAUCUAACCAUAAUGCUAAUAAAUAAAUAAAUAAAUUGCCCCUGUAGGUUAUUUCAGAUGAGUUAAAACAAAACACUUGUGCCAUUGUUACCACUCCUAUAUCUAACCAUAAUGCUAAUAAAUAAAUAAAUUAAUUAAUUAAUUGCCCCUGUAGGUUAUUUCAGAUGAGUUAAAACAAAACACUUGUGCCAUUGUUACCACUCCUAUAUCUAACCAUAAUGCUAAUAAAUAAAUAAAUAAAUAAAU
Molecule: long non-coding RNA, 1545 nt
Organism: Protopterus annectens (West African lungfish)
Lineage: Eukaryota; Metazoa; Chordata; Ceratodontiformes; Protopteridae
Exons: 2
Source: RefSeq, a predicted model, not a curated record